Small nucleolar RNA from Jaculus jaculus (lesser Egyptian jerboa), 214 nucleotides. Its record names the gene U3. It matches the Rfam family "Small nucleolar RNA U3". Rfam says of the family: Small nucleolar RNAs (snoRNAs) are involved in the processing and modification of rRNA in the nucleolus. NCBI's taxonomy places the organism in Eukaryota, Metazoa, Chordata, Mammalia, Rodentia, Dipodidae. The record is from Ensembl.
AAGACUAUACUUUCAGGGAUCAUUUCUAUAGUUUGUUACUAAGAAGUUCCUCUGACUGUGUAGAGUGCCAGAAGCCACGAGGAAGAAGCGUGGCAGUGUCUCCUGAGCGUGAAGCGGCUCUUGGUGUUGCUUUGCUGCAACUGUCAUUUGCCACUGAUGACCGUUUCUGCUCUCCUUCCAGGGAGCUGAAGGUGGAGGACACAGUCUGAGUGGA